CAUCCAUUCGCGUCGAUGUGGAGGCAGGAGAGUUGUCUGAUCGUUGCCUGUUUAGGUCGAUUGCGUGGGCGAUUCUGGAUCGUUCAUCGUGAUUGAUCUCGUUCGUCCGAUUGCGUCUAAAGAGAGAAUGCAUUUGAGUCAUCUAUGCGCGCGGGACGUGAUUAGGACCAUUGGAUCACGAAGCACGCGGAUCGCCCGCAUGGUACCGAUGUCAGCACGUUUUUCUACACAGUGUGCUCUGGUUCGCCGUUGCU
This 254-nucleotide long non-coding RNA is filed under the name Carica papaya (papaya). Its description in RNAcentral is "long non-coding RNA (CPAP_LNC007992)". The record is from RNAcentral. Lineage: Eukaryota; Viridiplantae; Streptophyta; Magnoliopsida; Brassicales; Caricaceae.